RNAcentral lists this ribosomal RNA (301 nucleotides) under uncultured bacterium. Its description in RNAcentral is "partial 16S ribosomal RNA". It matches the Rfam family "Bacterial small subunit ribosomal RNA", at positions 509 to 807 of the family's 1533-position model. The record is from RNAcentral.
CAGUAGCCGCGGUAAAACGGAGGGUGCAAGCGUUAAUCGGAAUUACUGGGCGUAAAGCGUGCGUAGGCGGUUCGUUAAGUCUGUUGUGAAAGCCCCGGGCUCAACCUGGGAAUGGCAAUGGAUACUGGCGAGCUAGAGUGUGUCAGAGGAUGGUGGAAUUCCCGGUGUAGCGGUGAAAUGCGUAGAGAUCGGGAGGAACAUCUGUGGCGAAGGCGGCCAUCUGGGACAACACUGACGCUGAGGCACGAAAGCGUGGGGAGCAAACAGGAUUAGAUACCCCUGUAGUCCCUGUCUCUUAUAC